This 216-nucleotide ribosomal RNA is filed under the name Triticum aestivum (bread wheat). RNAcentral's name for it is "partial small subunit ribosomal RNA". Lineage: Eukaryota; Viridiplantae; Streptophyta; Magnoliopsida; Poales; Poaceae. The record is from RNAcentral.
AUGCAAUCCAUCUACAUAUUACCCGGUUGGGAAGGGUCCGCGCAUGAUGGUUGGGUUCUUAGGGAUGCUAUCUCACGACCAAAUGGGUUGUGUGUCCCCAAAGGCCAAUAUUAUCUUGUCGAUGCUAGCUAUACAAAUGCAAAAGGAUUUUUAGCUCCAUACCAAGGUCAAAGGUAUCACUUGGGUGGUUGGACACCCACAAAAUUCACCUCGUAG